RNAcentral lists this long non-coding RNA (387 nucleotides) under Mytilus galloprovincialis (Mediterranean mussel). Lineage: Eukaryota; Metazoa; Mollusca; Bivalvia; Mytilida; Mytilidae. The record is from RNAcentral.
GAAGUAUGACACACUUUCUUAAUGUUUACAUUUUUAACAUCCGAAAUGUGUUCCGAGUCGAUGACCGUUUCAUAUAAUACUCAUUUUCAUUUAGACUAACUUGCGAUGGUACGUACGUUGUCGUAGAAUUCAUUGUAUCAGACAAUCACUUGAAAAUACUUCAUGAGUCAACUGUACCAGGGACGGAUCCAGCCAUUUAAAAAAAAGGGGGGGGGGUCCUUACCCAGGAGAAAGGGGGAGUUCCAACUACAUGUCCCCAUUCAAAUGCAUUGAUCGUCCAAAAAAAGGGGGUUCCAAUCCCCGGAACUCACACCCCCUCCUUCCCCCUGGAUCCGCGCCUGUGAAUCCCUAGAAAUUAAACAAUUAUAGUAUUUUUAAAAUACGAAC